This 461-nucleotide long non-coding RNA is filed under the name Equus caballus (horse). RNAcentral's name for it is "lncRNA (ENSECAG00000059114.1)". Lineage: Eukaryota; Metazoa; Chordata; Mammalia; Perissodactyla; Equidae. The record is from RNAcentral.
UUUUCACACAAACUCCAUUAAAUGAACGGCGUCAGAGAAAGGAAGAGACAUGGAUAAGCUCUGUUAGAAGAAUUGCUUUGCAAGUGGAGUAAGCGCAGGAUGAAUUGAAACGGAGAGACUGGAAGCGGAGACUAGUGAGGAGGUUAUGACAUUAACACAGGCCCAAGUGCUCAAAUCAGCAUUUAGCACAGAAGAAAACUGGAACUAUGUGACCACUCUGGAAGGAAACAGAAUUCCUCAUUUCCUUGAUUCUAAUCUGUAUUUGCUACUGGAAAUAUGUCCGAUGCCCCACUAGGAAAAACCAGGAGAACAACAGUGGAAAUUGACCAGCUUGUGGGAGAUCUUCGUAUGUUUUAAAAGAUGAACGUUGACACCAACUUUCAAGAAAGCAAUCCAUUGUCCGUUGGGUGCCGUGCCGUCUCACUCUCAAGGAAAUUCCCGCUCUUGAUCCUCAAAUUCCA